Molecule: ribosomal RNA, 460 nt
Filed under: uncultured bacterium
Lineage: Bacteria
Description: partial 16S ribosomal RNA
Rfam family: Bacterial small subunit ribosomal RNA
Source: RNAcentral
CCUACGGGAGGCAGCAGUGAGGAAUAUUGGUCAAUGGGCGGAAGCCUGAACCAGCCAAGUCGCGUGAGGGAAGACGGUCCUACGGAUUGUAAACCUCUUUUGCCGAGGAACAACGUGAUCCUUGCGAGGGCCCAAUGAGAGUCCCCGGAGAAAAAGCAUCGGCUAACUCCGUGCCAGCAGCCGCGGUAAUACGGGGGAUGCGAGCGUUAUCCGGAUUUAUUGGGUUUAAAGGGUGCGUAGGCGGGCUGUUAAGUCAGCGUUCAAAUGUCGGGGCUCAACCCCGGCCUGCCGUUGAAACUGGCGGCCUUGAGUGGGCGAGAAGUAUGCGGAAUGCGUGGUGUAGCGGUGAAAUGCAUAGAUAUCACGCAGAACUCCGAUUGCGAAGGCAGCAUACCGGCGGCCUACUGACGCUGAGGCACGAAAGCGUGGGUAUCGAACAGGAUUAGAUACCCUUGUAGUC